GGAUAUAGCUCAAUUGGUAGAGUGCUUGCUUAGCAUGCAUGAGGUCCUGGGUUCAAUUCCCAGUACCUCCA
Molecule: transfer RNA, 71 nt
Filed under: Camelus bactrianus (Bactrian camel)
Lineage: Eukaryota; Metazoa; Chordata; Mammalia; Artiodactyla; Camelidae
Also listed under: 2 other names
Rfam family: tRNA
About the family: Transfer RNA (tRNA) molecules are approximately 80 nucleotides in length.
Source: Rfam by way of RNAcentral